CAGCAGCCGCGGGAAUACAGAGGGUGCGAGCGUUAAUCGGAUUUACUGGGCGUAAAGCGUGCGUAGGCGGCUUCUUAAGUCGGAUGUGAAAUCCCUGAGCUUAACUUAGGAAUUGCAUUCGAUACUGGGAAGCUAGAGUAUGGGAGAGGAUGGUAGAAUUCCAGGUGUAGCGGUGAAAUGCGUAGAGAUCUGGAGGAAUACCGAUGGCGAAGGCAGCCAUCUGGCCUAAUACUGACGCUGAGGUACGAAAGCAUGGGGAGCAAACAGGAUUAGAUACCCCGGUAGUCCCUGUCUCUUAUAC
RNAcentral lists this ribosomal RNA (301 nucleotides) under uncultured bacterium. Its description in RNAcentral is "partial 16S ribosomal RNA". It matches the Rfam family "Bacterial small subunit ribosomal RNA", at positions 509 to 807 of the family's 1533-position model. The record is from RNAcentral.